CGAAAGGUAUGCUAAUACGGGAUAAUAUAUUUGAGAGGCAUCUCUUGAAUAUCAAAGGUGAGCCAGUACAGGAUGGACCCGCGUCUGAUUAGCUAGUUGGUAAGGUAACGGCUUACCAAGGCGACGAUCAGUAGCCGACCUGAGAGGGUGAUCGGCCACAUUGGAACUGAGACACGGUCCAAACUCCUACGGGAGGCAGCAGCGGGGAAUACUGCACAAUGGGCGAAAGCCUGAUGCAGCAACGCCGCGUGAGUGAUGAAGGCCUUCGGGUCGUAAAACUCUGUCCUCAAGGAAGAUAAUGACGGUACUUGAGGAGGAAGCCCCGGCUAACUACGUGCCAGCAGCCGCGGUAAUACGUAGGGGGCUAGCGUUAUCCGGAUUUACUGGGCGUAAAGGGUGCGUAGGCGGUCUUUCAAGUCAGGAGUGAAAGGCUACGGCUCAACCGUAGUAAGCUCUUGAAACUGGGAGACUUGAGUGCAGGAGAGGAGAGUGGAAUUCCUAGUGUAGCGGUGAAAUGCGUAGAUAUUAGGAGGAACACCAGUUGCGAAGGCGGCUCUCUGGACUGUAACUGACGCUGAGGCACGAAAGCGUGGGGAGCAAACAGGAUUAGAUACCCUGGUAGUCCACGCUGUAAACGAUGAGUACUAGGUGUCGGGGGUUACCCCCUUCGGUGCCGCAGCUAACG
RNAcentral lists this ribosomal RNA (685 nucleotides) under uncultured bacterium. Its description in RNAcentral is "bacterial SSU rRNA". It matches the Rfam family "Bacterial small subunit ribosomal RNA", at positions 152 to 857 of the family's 1533-position model. The record is from RNAcentral.